This is a long non-coding RNA of Chinchilla lanigera (long-tailed chinchilla), 1850 nucleotides long. RefSeq lists it as uncharacterized. The transcript has 4 exons. The record is from RefSeq and is a predicted model, not a curated record. NCBI's taxonomy places the organism in Eukaryota, Metazoa, Chordata, Mammalia, Rodentia, Chinchillidae.
CUUGGCCUUGGGUUGGUAGAGUAGAGCUCGCUUUCCUCUUUGAUGAGAAGCAGGUUGUAGGAUGGUGGCCUCUUGUACACCUCCUGGCAUUGGACCCAGGACCUGCCAGUGAAUUCCCUGCCACUUGUGGGGAUGUGGCAAUACAGGCGCCUGCCCAGGCUGGAGCUGGUGUCCCGGCGCUUUUUGAGGGUUGCAUGGACUCUGCCUGUUGGGUGGGGGCGGGGACAGAGCAAUGAAGGACACAGGCACAUGUCAGCAAGUCUUCCAUCCUCUCAGUCUGGGGACUUGGCAGACCAGCUCGAGUUUCCUGGCCUUGGGUUGUGAAGCAGGUCAGGCCAGCUGGCUUGGAAGAGCUCUGUGAAACUUGUGUCAGCCUGUAUCUCGGAGUCUUGUUUGCUGUCAGGGAGGUGAUACUGCUGCUGGCCAAGGCCCAGCAGUUCCUUUGGGGCGCAUGUGGAGGCUCUGGACUUGGCGCAGGGAGGGGCUUUCUCUGAAGUUUUCCUCAUUUGACUAAAGAAAGUUUCUCUGGAAGGAAUGUGACUGUUGAUAUGCCCGGAUCCUCUCCCUGGAAUGGACAUUAAUCAGUGAGGAUGGUGAAGAGAUCGACAGCCACUCACCACAGCCAGAGCCCCGGAGACCUUUGUUCCAGGCUAUCUUCAGCUCUCUGGGUCACUUUAUCGCUCCUAAAAUUCAUUUACCCUUCCUCUUGUAUUGGUUCCAUCCCUUACUUUUUGCUCCCUUUGGAAGAGGGUUUUUAAAUUUCAAACAUCUGGCCCUUUGUAUUAGUUCGCUUUCUGCUAAGUAUAAUAAAACUCCUGAUUCUGAGUACUUUGAAAAGAAAAGAGGUUCAUUUAGCUCACAGUUCUGGAGGUUCGAGGGCACAGUGCCAGCGUGGGCUCUGCUGUGCUGGGCAACCUCAUGGCAGAAGUGUGUGCAAAGAGGGAGCCGGGGAGGGAGACAAGGAGCUACAGAGACAAGGGAGGAGCCAGGCUUGGGCUUUUAUAGUAACUCUGGGGGCACUAACCACGGCCCCUGAGAACUAUACUGAUUCCUGCAGGGGGAGCGAGCGCCCUCCAAACCUAAUGCUGUCCCACUAAUCCCUCCUCUUAAGGGUUUUGUGAGCUCCCACUUUGUCACGCUACACACUAAGCCCCCAGCACAUGAAACUCUGGGAGACUGACCCCACCAUGCUCAAAUCAUGUGACUUUUUUUGAAUUUCAUACUUUACGUGACUUACGUGAAUGGACCUGUUAAUAACCAUGCACCUCCUUUCUCUUGUUUAUCUGUCUAUUGUCAGUUUUUUUUCCUGCAGAUUCAAUUAGGGAUCCUUCUGGGGGUGAAGCAGAAGUUCCAGUUAUUUCUACAAGCCUUUGAGACCUGGAAUCACCAUCAACCAAAAAAAGGUCUCUCCAGAUGCCUGCUAGUGCCCCUGGCUGGGGCACGUCCUGUUCACGCAUCACCGCAGGCAGCAGCCCUGGGAUCACAGGCUGUGGACCCAUAUGAUUUUGGAGGAAGCAUGAUGAUCAGACUGGGAAUGUGAAGCAAGAGACUGAGAAGAGUCUAUCUGGAGCCAUUGAGAAGCCAUGUACAUCCACUAUACAUUUCUGAAGGAAAGAGCCGGAAGUCACACAGUGCCCAAUCAGGUGAAGAAGGCGCUGUAACAUUUUUGUGAGCCCGUCUUGCCGUUGGAUGGAACCUUGCAGCAUUACUCAGUGUCAUUUACAUUGUACCUUAUUAAAAAGACUCACAGAAGAGGACUUUCAGAACUGCUUCAGAGAAUGGAAAGACUAGGACAAGCGCACUCAGGGCAAGGGGGAAGUAUUUUGAUGGGGACAGCAAUGUGUCUUUUA